CAAUAGCGUAUAUUAAAGUUGUUGCGGUUAAAAAGCUCGUAGUUGGAUUUCUGCUGAGGACGAUCGGUCCGCCCUCUGGGUGAGUAUCUGGCUCGGCCUUGGCAUCUUCUUGGAGAACGUUACUGCACUUGACUGUGUGGUGCGGUAUCCAGGACUUUUACUUUGAGGAAAUUAGAGUGUUUCAAGCAGGCGCACGCCUUGAAUACAUUAGCAUGGAAUAAUAAGAUAGGACCUUGGUUCUAUUUUGUUGGUUUCUAGAGCUGAGGUAAUGAUUAAUAGGGAUAGUUGGGGGCAUUCGUAUUUAACUGUCAGAGGUGAAACUCUUGGAUUUGUUAAAGACGGACUACUGCGAAAGCAUUUGCCAAGGAUGUUUUCAUUGA
This 380-nucleotide ribosomal RNA is filed under the name uncultured eukaryote. RNAcentral describes it as "partial 18S ribosomal RNA". It matches the Rfam family "Eukaryotic small subunit ribosomal RNA", at positions 592 to 976 of the family's 1831-position model. The record is from RNAcentral.